This 423-nucleotide ribosomal RNA is filed under the name uncultured bacterium. Its description in RNAcentral is "bacterial SSU rRNA". It matches the Rfam family "Bacterial small subunit ribosomal RNA", at positions 355 to 775 of the family's 1533-position model. The record is from RNAcentral.
UAAGGAAUAUUGGACAAUGGGCGCAAGCCUGAUCCAGCCAUGCCGCGUGCAGGAUGAAGGCCCUAUGGGUCGUAAACUGCUUUUAGCAGGGAAAAAACCCUCGUUCGUGAACGAGGCUGAUGGUACCUGCAGAAUAAGCAUCGGCUAACUCCGUGCCAGCAGCCGCGGUAAUACGGAGGAUGCAAGCGUUAUCCGGAUUUAUUGGGUUUAAAGGGUGCGUAGGCGGAUAAAUAAGUCAGUGGUGAAAGCCUGCAGCUUAACUGUAGAAUUGCCAUUGAUACUGUUUAUCUUGAGUACAGUUGAGGUGGGCGGAAUAUGGCAUGUAGCGGUGAAAUGCUUAGAUAUGCCAUAGAACACCGAUUGCGAAGGCAGCUCACUAAACUGUCACUGACGCUGAGGCACGAAAGCGUGGGUAGCAAACAG